AGUGAACGCUGGCGGUAGGCCUAACACAUGCAAGUCGAACGGCAGCACAGUAAGAGCUUGCUCUUACGGGUGGCGAGUGGCGGACGGGUGAGGAAUACAUCGGAAUCUACUUUUUCGUGGGGGAUAACGUAGGGAAACUUACGCUAAUACCGCAUACGACCUACGGGGGAGAGCAGGGGAUCUUCGGACCUUGCGCGAUUGAAUGAGCCGAUGUCGGAUUAGCUAGUUGGCGGGGUAAAGGCCCACCAAGGCGACGAUCCGUAGCUGGUCUGAGAGGAUGAUCAGCCACACUGGCACUGAGACACGGUCCAGACUCCUACGGGAGGCAGCAGUGGGGAAUAUUGGACAAUGGGCGCAAGCCUGAUCCAGCCAUACCGCGUGGGUGCAGAAGGCCUUCGGGUUGUAAGGCCCUUUUGUUGGGAAAGAAAAGCAGCAGGUUAAUACCCCGCUGUUCUGACGGUACCCAAAGAAUAAGCACCGGCUAACUUCGUG
This 492-nucleotide ribosomal RNA is filed under the name uncultured bacterium. RNAcentral's name for it is "partial 16S ribosomal RNA". It matches the Rfam family "Bacterial small subunit ribosomal RNA", at positions 29 to 507 of the family's 1533-position model. The record is from RNAcentral.